Molecule: ribosomal RNA, 491 nt
Filed under: uncultured bacterium
Lineage: Bacteria
Description: partial 16S ribosomal RNA
Rfam family: Bacterial small subunit ribosomal RNA
Source: RNAcentral
AGUGAACGCUGGCGGUAGGCCUAACACAUGCAAGUCGAACGGCAGCACAGUAAGAGCUUGCUCUUACGGGUGGCGAGUGGCGGACGGGUGAGGAAUACAUCGGAAUCUACUUUUUCGUGGGGGAUAACGUAGGGAAACUUACGCUAAUACCGCAUACGACCUACGGGUGAAAGCAGGGGAUCUUCGGACCUCGCGCGAUUGAAUGAGCCGAUGUCGGAUUAGCUAGUUGGCGGGGUAAAGGCCCACCAAGGCGACGAUCCGUAGCGGGUCUGAGAGGAUGAUCAGCCACACUGGAACUGAGACACGGUCCAGACUCCUACGGGAGGCAGCAGUGGGGAAUAUUGGACAAUGGGCGCAAGCCUGAUCCAGCCAUACCGCGUGGGUGAAGAAGGCCUUCGGGUUGUAAAGCCCUUUUGUUGGGAAAGAAAAGCAGCAGGUUAAUACCCCGCUGUUCGGACGGUACCCAAAGAAUAAGCACCGGCUAACUUCGU